AACGAACGCUGGCGGCAGGCUUAACACAUGCAAGUCGAACGCACCUUUCGGGGUGAGUGGCAGACGGGUGAGUAACGCGUGGGAAUCUACCCUUCUCUACGGGAUAGCUCCGGGAAACUGGAAUUAAUACCGUAUACGUCCUGAGGGAGAAAGAUUUAUCGGGGAAGGAUGAGCCCGCGUUGGAUUAGCUAGUUGGUGGGGUAAAGGCCUACCAAGGCGACGAUCCAUAGCUGGUCUAAGAGGAUGAUCAGCCACAUUGGGACUGAGACACGGCCCAAACUCCUACGGGAGGCAGCAGUGGGGAAUCUUGGACAAUGGGGGCAAGCCUGAUGCAGCCAGGCCGGGAGAGCGAUGAAGGCCCUAGGGUUGUAAAGCUCUUUCAGUGGGGACGAUAAUGACGUUACCAACAGAAGAAGCCCCGGCUAACUUCGUG
RNAcentral lists this ribosomal RNA (433 nucleotides) under uncultured bacterium. RNAcentral describes it as "partial 16S ribosomal RNA". It matches the Rfam family "Bacterial small subunit ribosomal RNA", at positions 29 to 507 of the family's 1533-position model. The record is from RNAcentral.